CCAGUUUAAGUUUCAUGAUGUUUUUUCACCCGUUUCAGAGUUUAUAACGGGUGUCUAUGGGACGGAAUGUUGGGGCUAGAGUGAGGCAGCUCAACUGCUAGAGUGAGAGGAGCAAAAAAAUUAAUCUUAAAAUCUUUUUUAAAACUGCUGCUGUGUCCACAGCGUUUGCUCUACAGGUAUGAUUUUACCCUCAAAACGUAGCCAUGGCUGUCCUCUUUCAUCCAAUGUGUUUACUAUUGUCCUAGGUGUUAUGGUUCUUUCAUAAAUGUCACCAAUGCACAGCCUCCUCCCUCCAACUCUUCCAUAGACUCUAAUGUUAAAAUGGCUCAGAAGGUUCGUUUGAAAAUCAGAAGAGCAUGGUGUCUUUACACUGUCACCACGUCCAUAUAAUAAGCUCCACAGGCAUGAAAACUGAGAAUUAGGUAGACUAGACAUGGCUGUCGCUCACGGUGAAAGAAUUUUGUCAAUACGACAUGUACUUUUCAUUUGGGAAGAAUUUGUUUGGGCCUGACUUUUCUGUUCAUUUUAAGCAGCAAAAGUGAGGCGCAUGUCUGUGUACGUGUGUAUGGAGCCAUUGGGUGCGGUCACUAUAGCAACCAGGCUCACACCUGCCUGCUUAACGAGCUCUGCCUGCCACUGUACCAAGAUUCAUCUUAAGCACUUCUCUUUCAACUGCUGCUGUGUCCACAGUGUUACAGCCAUCAUUUUACCCUCAAAUUGUCGCCAUUAUUGUUCUCUUUCCAACACCGUAUCUUUCAAAGCUCAGGCAUUUAAACUUUUUAAACUGUGUGGAUCAAAGUGGAGGGAUCACAUUUGAGUCAUUCAGUGAUUCAAAGAAUAUGACCUUUUAAUAUUCAUUCAGAUGUUUUCUGACUCUAAAUGUUCUUUUCUCAUUUCUUAGGGUUUUCUAAUUUACAUUUAAAACAUUUUCAGUUUUUUUCCAACUCCUUCUUCUGUGUAACCUUCAGCUUUUAGCAGUUCAGCACCUUUGUUUUCAGGUUAAAUUCGUUUUUUUUUUUUGUUUUUUUUUAAUCUCAUUCAAUAUUUUUAACUCAAAAUUCAGCAAUUAAUUCAUUUCAGUGCAUACAUUCAGAUUCAAGCAUUCACACUGCAGUUUCUUCAGAAAAUGCACUUUCUAGUUAUUAUAUUUUAUCUAUUCCGUACGUUUUUUGAAAGCCUACUCCUUCAAAACCGUUCAACUUAGAAAAACCAUUCAAACACCAUUAGAUUCCUAUUCUUUUGGACACUGUUGCUUGUAUUUUUCUCAUUUUUAACAUUUAUAUUUUUAAUUUUAUUCAACUUUAUUCAACAAAAAUUUCCCAUGUAUUUCAAUGGGGAGACCCUUCAAAUUCUCAUUCAACUUACUCAUUUUUAAACUCUUACUACUUCAACAUACGUUCACAUAGAGCCACCAUUCAAACUUUAAAACGAAGACAAGACAUUCAACUAUUCAACUUGUAUUUAUCUUUUCAAUAUCUAUUAUACUUUUUCUUCAGUUCCAGUUUAAGUUUCAUGAUGUUUUUUCACCCGUUUCAGAGUUUAUAAUGGGUGUGUAUGGGACGGAAUGUUGGGGCUAGAGUGAGACAGCUCAACUGCUAGAGUGAGAGGAGCAAAAAAAA
Long non-coding RNA from Astatotilapia calliptera (eastern happy), 1619 nucleotides. The record is from Ensembl. Lineage: Eukaryota; Metazoa; Chordata; Actinopteri; Cichliformes; Cichlidae.